Long non-coding RNA from Marmota monax (woodchuck), 1393 nucleotides. RefSeq lists it as uncharacterized. The record is from RefSeq and is a predicted model, not a curated record. The transcript is spliced from 3 exons. NCBI's taxonomy places the organism in Eukaryota, Metazoa, Chordata, Mammalia, Rodentia, Sciuridae.
AGGAGGAAAUGGGAGGCAGCAGAGGAAGCGAGACCCGGCCAGGCCGCCUCCUGUUUUUCUGGUCAUCUUUACAUCACUCAGCUCUGGGCACGAGGCCUCGUUUCCAGAAGGGCCCUGUCAAAAAUGCACAUCUGUUACUUAGAAGGGUGACACAUUGACCCAGUGACACCGAUCUGCCUGUCAGAUGCACUGGCUGGCUCCGCCUCGAGCAGCAGGGACCAAGGGGAAGGGCACCUGGGACAGCUCAGCAGGAUGGCCUUCUCCAACUCAGCUGGCUCCAGCUGUCUCUCCCGCAAAAGGUGAUACGCAAGGGGACAGUGUGAACCCAAAUGCUGUGACAUCCCUUGUCAGCUGGCAGAUGGUGAGCCUUUAACAGCUGAUCCCAACACCCUUCUCCUCAUCUUUAAAGCAGGAACAAGGCCUGCAGUGCCUGGACUGAGUUUUCGGCGGACACAACAUCUUUGUUUGUAUGUGGUGCUGAGGAUCGAACCCGGGCCGCACGCAUGCCAGGUGAGCGCGCUACCACUUGAGCCACAUCCCCAGCCAUAACAUGAUUUUUAAAGAAUUAAUUCUACACUGCCUCCCUCCCCUUCCCAUCCCUCCACUCUGCCUCUUGGUCUCCUUCUACACUACAGAUCUUCCUUUUAUCUUAGGCUGUCCUAUCCUUCUCUCCCCCUUUCUUUUAUUUUAUUCUAGCUUCCCCCAAAGGAGAGACAACAUGUGACCCUUGAGUUUCUGAGUCUGGCUUAUUUCACUUAGCAUGAUAGUCUCCAUUUUAUGGAAAGGACAUUCGAAGUAAUUUUAUUUAUUUAUUUAUUUAUUUGUGGUGUGAGGAACUGAACCCAGGCAGGCUCUACCCCUCAGUUACAAACCCAGCCCUGUUUAUUUUUUAUUUUGAGACAGGGUCUUAUUAAAUCUUCCAGGCUGACCUCAAAUUUCAUCCUCUGGCCUCAGUCUCCUGAGUUGCUGGAAUUACAGGCAUGCACCACUGGGCCUGGUGCAGAAAGGUCUGUAAUAAACAUACAGAGCUUUCAUUAUUAGGAAAAAAAGUGACAGAAAGUACACAUAGGCUGAGAGAACUGUAUAUUCUUUACCAUCUCAAUUUUGUAAAAAAGUUAUUGAAAGAGGCUGGAAGGAAAUAUGUAAGACAUUCACAGUUAUUGCUUCUGGGAAUGAGAUAAUAGGUGAUUUUUUAAAAUAUUACAAUGAUCUUGUGUUACUUUCAUGACAGGAGGAAGGAAGGAAGGAAGAGAAUCUAGUACAAGGGAAUUCUUGGAAAUAACAGUUGUGUUAGGCUGGUAAGAUUAUAGGUCAUUUUUGUUGCUUUGUUCUGUUUUCCAAACUUUUCAUUACAUGGCUUUGUCGUUAUUUUAGCAGGAACAAAACCCUCACU